UACGUAGGGUGCAAGCGUUAAUCGGAAUUACUGGGCGUAAAGCGUGCGCAGGCGGUUAUGUAAGACAGAUGUGAAAUCCCCGGGCUCAACCUGGGAACUGCAUUUGUGACUGCAUAGCUAGAGUACGGUAGAGGGGGGAUGGAAUUCCGCGUGUAGCAGUGAAAUGCGUAGAUAUGCGGAGGAACACCGAUGGCGAAGGCAAUCCCCUGGACCUGUACUGACGCUCAUGCACGAAAGCGUGGGGGAGCAAACAGG
This 255-nucleotide ribosomal RNA is filed under the name uncultured bacterium. RNAcentral's name for it is "partial 16S ribosomal RNA". It matches the Rfam family "Bacterial small subunit ribosomal RNA", at positions 524 to 776 of the family's 1533-position model. The record is from RNAcentral.